GACCCUAAAGAUGGUGAACUGCGCCUGAGCGGGGCGAAGCCAGAGGAAACUCUGGUGGAGGCCCGCAGAAUUACUGACGUGCAAAUCGUUCGUCUGACUUAGGUAUAGGGACGAAAGACUAAUCGAACUGUCUAGUAGUUGG
This 142-nucleotide non-coding RNA is filed under the name Helianthus annuus (common sunflower). RNAcentral's name for it is "Eukaryotic large subunit ribosomal RNA". It matches the Rfam family "Eukaryotic large subunit ribosomal RNA", at positions 813 to 954 of the family's 3401-position model. Lineage: Eukaryota; Viridiplantae; Streptophyta; Magnoliopsida; Asterales; Asteraceae. The record is from Rfam by way of RNAcentral.